UGUUGACAUAAGUAUGUAUGAUUGACUGUGAUGUAUUCUGUACUGUAUAUCUGUUCCACACCACAAGGGGGCGUUAUCAGUUUGAUAACGAUGUGAUAUGAUUGAUGACGUCAUGCCCCUUAUUAAUAUGAAUGUUCCGGACUUCAUCAUUCUCUUAGCCCGCUCCCAACAUGAAGGCUGGAAGAGCAGUUUAGUUAUUCACUAUAAAAUAAAUAUGCCUUGAGGCUGAAGAUUAAAACUCGUCUCGUCUACUUUUCUGUUGUUGCACUGUUGGACUCCUGUUGUGUUAGUAGUGCUCCUGCUAACAGUUCCGCUAUCGCUAUUUGUUGAGAUAGAUAUCCGAUAACCCUUGACAUGACAUGUUAAGGUUUCAAGUAAAAUGUGUGUGCAGUGGAUUUGCUUACUACUACUAUUCCUUGGUUGAUUAUACCGGUGCACUGCUUUGAUAUCGGUAAAGCUGCCACCUAGGCUACGUCACUCGCCUGUCAAACUGAAGAUUUCCUUUCCUCUUUUACCUCAGGGACACCAGACCAGACGGCUCAUUAAUUUCAGAGCGACCAGGGAAAAUGAGUUCCUAAAAUCAAAAAUGAUCGCCAGAAAACAGUGGGAGCUUUAUCUGGAAGUAAUGGGGAUGGAGGGGAAAGUGACCAGGCAACAGGCUUCUAAGAAGUGGGAGAACCUUAAAAAGAAGUGCAUGGAUUUGAGGACUCCCAAAACUGGGUCGGGGGCUGAAAGUGGAGAGGUGACUGUGGCGACGUGGCAGUAUUUUGACUUGAUGCACGAG
Long non-coding RNA from Gadus chalcogrammus (walleye pollock), 784 nucleotides. RefSeq lists it as uncharacterized. NCBI's taxonomy places the organism in Eukaryota, Metazoa, Chordata, Actinopteri, Gadiformes, Gadidae. The transcript is spliced from 3 exons. The record is from RefSeq and is a predicted model, not a curated record.